This 1092-nucleotide long non-coding RNA is filed under the name Homo sapiens (human). RNAcentral describes it as "non-protein coding lnc-IRX3-80:17". The record is from RNAcentral. Lineage: Eukaryota; Metazoa; Chordata; Mammalia; Primates; Hominidae.
UGGCUGCAGCGGCGGCGGGGACCGUGGGGCCGAGGUGGCUGCCAGCCGGCCAAUGUCUAAGCGAGGCGGAGCGGCCCAGGCGGCCCGAGCCUGGGGGAGCGCGCAGCCGGCCAGUGGCGGCCUCGCCGGCGGCCUCUUCCCGGGCUCGCAGUAGGCCCGAGUCGUCGCCGGGAGCUCCUGGGAGCAGCGUCCCCGCCCUGCUCCCCUCGCUCCCGCCUCUUGCGGCCCCACGGCCCCUCAGCGCCCGCCCCCGGCUCCGCCCGCCGCAGCCGCAGCCCCUGGCGCUAACGGUCGGUAACGGCCCGCGCGCGCCGCCCGCCGGGGGCUCGCGCCAGCCACGAGGGAGCGUCCGCGGCCCGCGCGCCCGCGCGGCGGAGGAGAGCCGGUCGAGCCUCUCCGGGUGUCGGGGUUCGGGGCGGGCGCGCGUGGGCGUGGCUCCUCUGUCCACGCCUGUUCCCUUCGUCGCCGCGGCUCUCGUCCGGGACACGGCUUUCCGGAGUAGAGCCCUUGGAGAGGUGUUAAGUGUGAUGCUUCCAUAAUACAUUUGGAUGCUGUCAGCUAAGUUCACUUCUGAACUAAGGGGUUCCUCCAAAUGUUGGCUGAAAUUCAUCCCAAGGCUGGUCUGCAAAGAGUCUGCAAUUCAUAAUGGAGCUACUGUACUGGCUAUUGGAAGGAGGAGAUUCUGAAGAUAAGGAGAGGUAAAACCUGUUUAGAAAUUAAAAAUGAGUUACGAUUUAAAGAAAAUUCAGAUGACUCAUUGUGAGUGCUAGUUCUCUUGUAGGAUGCCACUGGAAAUGUUGAAAUGAAAAAUAGAUUCAGCCGUUGGUCUUUGAAAUUUCCUGUGAUGUGUUUCAAUCUAGAUGCAAAGAACAUGGAAAAAUCAAAGUGCUCGAGUGGUUUAAAUAUGUUUUGGGUAUUCCUGUUUAUAGACUAUAAUACUUUUCCAAUUAAAAUCCUCAGUUGUCACGCAGAAGAAGGUUAAGCUGUAUUUGAUUGCCAGUUUUACUGAAAAUGCUUAGUAUUUUACAGUAUCACCAAAUAUAUUUUGUUUAGCCAAGGUAUAGGAAAAAUAAAAUAAAUUGUAUAGGUUGA